UCCACGCUGUAAACGAUGGUGACUAGGUGUAGAGGGUGGAAGACAUCAGCUGUGCCGAAGCCAACGCGAUAAGUCACCCGCCUGGGGACUACGGUCGCAAGACUAAAACUCAAAGGAAUUGACGGGGGCCCGCACAAGCAGCGGAGCGUGUGGUUUAAUUCGAUGAUACGCGAAGAACCUUACCUGGGUUUGACAUUUAUGUGGUAGCGAGCCGAAAGGUGAGCGACCCUUCG
Molecule: ribosomal RNA, 233 nt
Filed under: uncultured bacterium
Lineage: Bacteria
Description: partial 16S ribosomal RNA
Rfam family: Bacterial small subunit ribosomal RNA
Source: RNAcentral